GUUCAAGAAGCAAAUCCAAAAGAAGUGACCUAUGCUGAGAGGCUAACAAAAAUAAAAGGAAUUUUGUCUGGAGAGACUUCAAUACAGUUGACUCUAUAAUUUUUAUACAGUCAUAACAAGUCGGAUCUUCUUAUUCUCAAGACAAUAAAGCAGUCUGUGGAGCCGAGAAAUAGUGUUUGCCACAGUGCAA
Non-coding RNA from Camellia sinensis, 190 nucleotides. Lineage: Eukaryota; Viridiplantae; Streptophyta; Magnoliopsida; Ericales; Theaceae. The record is from RefSeq and is a predicted model, not a curated record.